Cydia splendana is the source of this 2824-nucleotide long non-coding RNA. RefSeq lists it as uncharacterized. The transcript is spliced from 2 exons. Lineage: Eukaryota; Metazoa; Arthropoda; Insecta; Lepidoptera; Tortricidae. The record is from RefSeq and is a predicted model, not a curated record.
CAUUUAUUUCAGUUUAUAAUUUAUAUAGUAGUCUGACGCGACUUGCAUGAAGAAAAUAGUUAAGUGUGAGCUCUUGACGUGUGAAUCAGUGUCGUUCUCUCUUCAAUUCGUCUUUUAUUUUCUCUUUUUAUUAUAUAACAUUAUUAUAUUGGACAUAUUAAAACCGGUCACUCACGUAAGUUGCUCGACAUAUUUCGCACCGUAACGAGGAGCUUCUUCAACGACCCGAUGCACGCGCCGAGAGCUGCAGCUCGCAGUCUGCGUCGGUCCGCCAACGCGUGCUGCCGUUAAAAAAGCUCCUUGGAGCGCAACAUUUUGAGCAAUUAAUAAUAAUAACUUAACAUACGUGAGCGCGUUUUAAUAUAUCUAAUAUUAACUGUGUCUGACGAAAGUUUUGUUAAAAUAAAUUAUUAUAUUUAACGCUGCGGCUAUCUGUGUGUCUGUAUUAAGCUUUCGAUGUUCAAUGUAUAGUUUAUUGUAAUUAGAUUAUAUGCUUAACUGCGCAUAUUGUAAUGGAAUUUGGGUGAUAUCAAAUGGUUGUUGCAUUACAAGUACAAUACCUACGAGGUACCAAGUUAUUACCUAAGGUUGCAGCGGCGAGGUUAUAUAUAGAACCAGGACCAACCUGGCCCAAGAUACUAUACUGUACAUCACUGCAUCGAACAUUGUCUUUCCCACUGUCUUUCAAUUGGUAGUAAAUAAAAACUUACAUACAGAUGAUUGCACACUCACAGAUAAAACUAUUACCGACUCUUUUCUUUUAUAUUAAAAAAAUAUAGUGCAUUUAUAAAGAGGUUUAUACAAGGUAGAUGUGUAGUUUAGUAAUAAUUGUACGUUAUUUAUAUAAAAAAAAAAAAACAAAUUCCUUUUCACGCAUUUAGCUACAUUUAAGGCCCACACGGAUUUUGACCAACUAUAGAUUUUCUCGGCGAUCAGUUGAUGUAAAUAGAUUGAUUGAUCUUAUGACUUUCGUACUCAGGGUAAAAUAUAUAUUUACUAUGAAUAAUUAUUGUUGUCUAUUUAUAUAUGUUUUUUUAGAUGAUUUAGGUGGGAGUGACUUUUUGGCCUGCACAGGCUUCCUGUCCUUAAAAGUGAUAGUUUUUCUUGAAUUUAUUAAUGUUCCUUGCCCUGUGUAGGGUGAAUCUUUCACUGUUGUUCUUUCCUUAGAGGAGUUAUGAAAUGGUAGACUUAUACAAUUUAAUACAAACCUUGUUAACAAUUUAUUGAUAAAUGAACAUAUAGUUGGAGUAGAUUAGGGUCUGCCACGGGUAUAGACACAUUUUUAACAUUUCACUGUUACUUCGUAUACCCUGCCCAUCGUAUUAAAGCCAAAGACCUUAUUUCAACAUAAAAAAACUAUUUUAAAUGGCUGACUACUUUGGACGGGGUAUAUUUUUAUAUUUUAGCGUGUUUUCCUUCGUAGUCCUCUAUCUCAACACACUCUAGUUAAAAUGUUACAAAUGUGUCACCUCUUUGAACACUUAGGAUCUGGUUGUUUAAUCAUUUGAAAAACACGUCUAUAUACCAUAGACCAAAGACUAUUCAAAUGAAGACUCAAUCGGCAGCAUUCUGCGUGUCUGAGAACUGUAAUUUCUCCUCUAACGUACGUCUUUACUAGCAUAAAAUAAGUGUUCCUUUUAUAAAAUGAUUCAUUACUUUUUUAAUCAAUUAUGGCCUGGAUGCGAGUCCUUUAAGCCAAGUCUUUAUUUUGAAUGAAUUAAAUAAAAGGGACACAUUUAUGUCAAUAAAUGCUAACGCUAAAGGAACGGAAUGCAAUCCUGGACACCAUAGACAAAUAGUAAUAGAUGAAUUUAGAGACAACGACACAAUCGAACACACACGAGAGCUUCGACACACGCCAAUAUUACUUUAUCAUAGAUAUAUAUUACGUUAUAUGUUCUGACGUUACUCGCAGUAUAGAGAGAAUUUUUAAAAGCAAAGAACUGACUGUAAAAGUGCCACACACACGCGCUUGUUUCUUUUAUUCUCUAUAUUGUUUUUUUUUUUCAGGUCUUAAAAUGAGGCACAGGGAAAUGGAAGGAUGGAUUAAACUGCCACAGCGAAAGCUGGUUAAUACGCUCUGUAGGGCUGAGAUGGUCGGCUCUUUAUCAUUUGUCACCAUGCCUGUCCCGUUCUAACAAAUAUGUAAGUGUGAAAGUGACGCAUGGCAUGACAGGUGAUAAAAAUGCGACCAUGAUACCGCUUCUAUAUAGCUAAAUUUUGUCCGUCUGUUUCCCUAUGCGCUUGUUGUUUUUAGAAUAGUUAUUAUUGGCCAAGAUCACUGAUAGAAGGUUAGUUUUUAAUAUUAGUGACAACUAGUGUUAAAUCGCAAGUUAACCGUAACAAAAAAAAGUGUAAAGACAAAAAAAAUCUUUGAUCGACCACUGCGUGUGGUCUGGCAUGUUGUAUUGUUAUUAAAACGAUUAACGGAGGUUAGUAGUUUAUCCACGAUUACAUUUAACUUAGAGUUAUGGAAAAACGAAAAAAGGGGUUAAUAAUAUUGUUGAAAAUGUUUUUAGGUAAUUGAUAAUUGGAUUGAGCUUUUGUGAAACCGCGUUGUUGAGAAUAAUUUAGGUUUCGUUUGCAGUUGGCUGUACAAACUGCCAAUCGAUAAUCGUCUCUAUCGUUAAAGGGAUACGGUUUAGUUUCACGGUUCACGUAGUGUAGGCUUCGCCUUUUUGUGUCCCAUGCUGUUAUGUUUCGGAGGUCCCAUUAUUAGUUAUGUAUAAAGUUUAGAGGUAGGGGUUUUCAGCUGCCGCGGGUGAGUUUGAAAAUGUUCUACCUAACAUGUUGUUAAAUAAUAAAUAACUACAUUGUACCACCA